Jatropha curcas is the source of this 531-nucleotide non-coding RNA. Lineage: Eukaryota; Viridiplantae; Streptophyta; Magnoliopsida; Malpighiales; Euphorbiaceae. The record is from RefSeq and is a predicted model, not a curated record.
CAUCCUUUCUCACCCAUUCACUAAGCCUCCGACCACCGCAUAGACCAGCGCCACUACCCUCCUCUCCUCUCUUCUUCUUCUUCUUCUUCUUCUUUCCCUUUUCUUCUUGCUUGUGACUGCGUCUGCGUCUGCGUCGAGUCUAGCCACCACCAACAGGUGCGAUCCUCCACAGAUCACCACCGCACGCCGCCUCCGCCCCCUGUUAAGCCAGUUGCAGCCGCACGCAGUUCCAGCGCAACACCAGAUCGCGCCGUUGCUGCUCCUCCGACCGGUCCAGCCAGUGUAGGUCGAACGGAUGUCCAUCACAGCUACGCCGCCAAUCGUUUCUCCGCCGGAUCGCUCGCCACCGUCGCCGAUCGCCACCACUCCACGUCACAGCAGCUCUGCCGCUGCACCAGUGCAUCUCCGGCCACCGCUUGACAGUCUUCGAUCCGACACGCAUGCUUAUAAAGUUUCGGACUGUGAAGACAAAGGCUAGAAGCGCACAAUAAGAAAGGCAGUCCUUUUAAGGACAACAAAAACAGUGAAUAG